This 320-nucleotide ribosomal RNA is filed under the name uncultured eukaryote. Its description in RNAcentral is "partial 18S ribosomal RNA". It matches the Rfam family "Eukaryotic small subunit ribosomal RNA", at positions 1470 to 1796 of the family's 1831-position model. The record is from RNAcentral.
CCCCUAGAUGUUCUGGGCCGCGCGCGCGCUACACUGAACAGUUCAACAAGUCUUAACCUUGGCCGAUAGGUCUGGGUAAUCUUUGAACGCUGUUCGUGACUGGGAUAGACCUUUGCAAUUAUGGGUCUUCAACGAGGAAUUCCUAGUAAACGCAAGUCAUCAGCUUGCAUUGAUUACGUCCCUGCCCUUUGUACACACCGCCCGUCGCACCUACCGAUUGAAUGGUCCGGUGAAAUCUCGGGACGGCGGCUUGGUCGCUUGCGUCCGACUGCUGAAACUUGAUUAAACCAUAUCAUUUAGAGGAAGGUGAAGUCGUAACA